RNAcentral lists this ribosomal RNA (445 nucleotides) under Micrococcus luteus. RNAcentral's name for it is "bacterial SSU rRNA". It matches the Rfam family "Bacterial small subunit ribosomal RNA", at positions 28 to 487 of the family's 1533-position model. Lineage: Bacteria; Bacillati; Actinomycetota; Actinomycetes; Micrococcales; Micrococcaceae. The record is from RNAcentral.
GAUGAACGCUGGCGGCGUGCUUAACACAUGCAAGUCGAACGAUGAAGCCCAGCCUGCUGGGCGGAUUAGUGGCGAACGGGUGAGUAACACGUGAGUAACCUGCCCUUGACUCUGGGAUAAGCCCGGGAAACUGGGUCUAAUACCGGAUAGGAGCGCCUGUCGCAUGACGGGUGCUGGAAAGAUUUUUCGGUCAUGGAUGGACUCGCGGCCUAUCAGCUUGUUGGUGAGGUAACGGCUCACCAAGGCGACGACGGGUAGCCGGCCUGAGAGGGUGACCGGCCACACUGGGACUGAGACACGGCCCAGACUCCUACGGGAGGCAGCAGUGGGGAAUAUUGCACAAUGGGCGGAAGCCUGAUGCAGCGACGCCGCGUGAGGGAUGACGGCCUUCGGGUUGUAAACCUCUUUCAGUAGGGAAGAAGCGAAAGUGACGUACCUGCAGAGA